Molecule: ribosomal RNA, 1429 nt
Filed under: Fritziana ohausi (Petropolis treefrog)
Lineage: Eukaryota; Metazoa; Chordata; Amphibia; Anura; Hemiphractidae
Description: partial 16S ribosomal RNA
Rfam family: Bacterial large subunit ribosomal RNA
Source: RNAcentral
GCCAAAUAUCUAGCCCCAACAUGCCUCUGGCCUCAACUCAUUAUAUUUAUUAACUAAAACAUUCAUCAAAUCUAGUAGAGGUGAUCGAAAAAUUAAUCGGCGCAAUAUACCUAGUACCGCAAGGGAAAGACGAAAUAAAAGUGAAAACUUCAAGCGACAUAAAGCAGAGAUUCUACCUCGUACCUUUUGCAUCAUGGUCUAACUAGUCCAAUCAAGCAAAAAGACUUAAAGUUUGACACCCCGAAACUAAGCGAGCUACUUCAGGGCAGCCUAACGGGCGAAUCCGUCUCUGUCGCAAAAGAGUGGAAAGACCUUCAAGUAGUAGUGACAGGCCUAUCGAGCUUAGUGAUAGCUGGUUACUCAAGAAACGGACCUUAGUCCAACCUAAAGUUAAUUUAAUGUGACAAAAAUCUUUUCUAUAACUUUAGAGCAAUUCAAAUAAGGUACAGCCUAUUUGAAACAGGAUACAACCUCAACUAACGGGUUCUACACCUGAUACACCCCCGCCUAAGUGGGCCUAAAAGCAGCCACCUUUCAAAGAGCGUCAAAGCUUAAUUCUCUUUCACCCCAAUCCCAAAACCCUCCCCCAACCCUUUUACAGUAAUGAGUAAUUCUAUACCCCUAUAGAAGUUUUUAUGUUAGAACUAGUAACAAGAAGAUGACCCUUCUCUUAAAUGCAAGUGUAACCCAGAAAGGACACACCACUGGGAAUUAACACCCAUGAGCUACCAAUAGCAACGCUAUGAAAAACUCCUAUUUAUAGACAUGUUAACCUAACACAAGAGCAUUAAAAGAAAGAUUAAGAGAAAAAGAAGGAACUCGGCAAACAUUAACCUCGCCUGUUUACCAAAAACAUCGCCUCUCGUAUAAAUAUGAGAGGUCCAGCCUGCCCAGUGACUCUGUUCAACGGCCGCGGUAUCCUAACCGUGCAAAGGUAGCGUAAUCACUUGUCCUUUAAAUGAGGACUAGUAUGAACGGCACCACGAAGGUUACACUGUCUCCUUUUCCUAAUCAGUGAAACUGAUCUCCCCGUGAAGAAGCGGGGAUACACAUAUAAGACGAGAAGACCCUAUGGAGCUUUAAACGAAACAACAGCCGCCAUCUCAUUUAAAUUCCAGAGCAUCCACCCCAUAUUUUGGCGACAUGAUUGUUAGUUUUCGGUUGGGGUGACCGCGGAGAAUAAACCAACCUCCGCAUUGGAAGGGACCUCCCUCUAAGCAAAAAACCACAAUUUUACGCAUCAACAAAUUGACACCAAUUGACCCAAUAUUUUGAUCAACGAACCAAGUUACCCUAGGGAUAACAGCGCAAUCCAUUUUGAGAGCCCAUAUCGACAAAUGGGUUUACGACCUCGAUGUUGGAUCAGGGUACCCCAGUGGUGCAGCCGCUGCUAAAGGUUCGUUUGUUCAACGACUAAGACCCUACGUGA